GACAGAGGUGCCAAGCGUUAGGCGGAAUCACUGGGCUUAAAGCGUGUGUAGGCGGAUUGGUAAGUACCUUGUGAAAUCCCACAGCUCAACUGUGGAACUGCUUGGUAUACUGCCUGUCUUGAGCCACUUAGGGGCUGUCGGAACAAGCGGUGGAGCGGUGAAAUGCGUAGAUAUCGCUUGGAACGCCAAUGGUGAAAACAGACAGCUGGGAGUGUGCUGACGCUGAGGUGCGAAAGCGUGGGGAGCAAACAGG
Molecule: ribosomal RNA, 253 nt
Filed under: uncultured bacterium
Lineage: Bacteria
Description: partial 16S ribosomal RNA
Rfam family: Bacterial small subunit ribosomal RNA
Source: RNAcentral